This 252-nucleotide ribosomal RNA is filed under the name uncultured bacterium. RNAcentral describes it as "partial 16S ribosomal RNA". It matches the Rfam family "Bacterial small subunit ribosomal RNA", at positions 524 to 776 of the family's 1533-position model. The record is from RNAcentral.
UACGUAGGGGGCAAGCGUUGUCCGGAAUUAUUGGGCGUAAAGAGUACGUAGGUGGCAACCUAAGCGCAGGGUUUAAGGCAAUGGCUCAACCAUUGUUCGCCCUGCGAACUGGGAUGCUUGAGUGCAGGAGAGGAAAGCGGAAUUCCUAGUGUAGCGGUGAAAUGCGUAGAUAUUAGGAGGAACACCAGUGGCGAAGGCGGCUUUCUGGACUGUAACUGACACUGAGGUACGAAAGCGUGGGGAGCAAACAGG